GUACAACCGUUGAAGGAAAAAGUAAUUUGGAAGCAGUAGCAAAGAGAGAAGUAGCCAUUGGCUGAAAGCUAUUUCCUAUACGCUCCAAAUGAAAGACAUUCUGGAGGUUUUAUAUCGAAUAUAGUAGGUAUAAACGUGUUGCAGGCGUUAUCUGUGAAAGCGGAUGUUCUAACUUUUGAACAUCAACUAGGGUGGCAACGCGGGUAAACUCCCGUCCCUUCU
This 222-nucleotide non-coding RNA is filed under the name Oceanobacillus iheyensis. RNAcentral's name for it is "T-box sequence". It matches the Rfam family "T-box leader". Rfam says of the family: Uncharged tRNA acts as the effector for transcription antitermination of genes in the T-box leader family. T-boxes are found upstream of many aminoacyl-tRNA synthetase genes and some amino acid biosynthetic genes usually in Gram-positive bacteria. The anticodon of a specific tRNA base pairs to a specifier sequence within the T-box motif, and the NCCA acceptor tail of the tRNA base pairs to a conserved bulge in the T-box antiterminator hairpin. Lineage: Bacteria; Bacillati; Bacillota; Bacilli; Caryophanales; Bacillaceae. The record is from RNAcentral.